This 452-nucleotide ribosomal RNA is filed under the name uncultured bacterium. RNAcentral describes it as "bacterial SSU rRNA". It matches the Rfam family "Bacterial small subunit ribosomal RNA", at positions 29 to 526 of the family's 1533-position model. The record is from RNAcentral.
AACGAACGCUGGCGGCAGGCUUAACACAUGCAAGUCGAGCGAAGACUUCGGUCUUAGCGGCGGACGGGUGAGUAACGCGUGGGAACAUACCCUUUGCUACGGAACAGUCCCGGGAAACUGGGUUUAAUACCGUAUACGCCCUUCGGGGGAAAGAUUUAUCGGCAAAGGAUUGGCCCGCGUUGGAUUAGGUAGUUGGUGGGGUAAAGGCCUACCAAGCCGACGAUCCAUAGCUGGUUUGAGAGGAUGAUCAGCCACACUGGGACUGAGACACGGCCCAGACUCCUACGGGAGGCAGCAGUGGGGAAUAUUGGACAAUGGGCGCAACCCUGAUCCAGCCAUGCCGCGUGAGUGAUGAAGGCCCUAGGGUUGUAAAGCUCUUUCGCACGCGACGAUAAUGACGGUAGCGUGAGAAGAAGCCCCGGCUAACUUCGUGCCAGCCGCCGCCGUAACAC